GAACUUAAGCAUAUCAAUAAGCGGAGGAAAAGAAACCAACCGGGAUUGCCUCAGUAACGGCGAGUGAAGCGGCAAGAGCUCAAAUUUGAAAGCUGGCUCCUUCGGGGUCCGCAUUGUAAUUUGCAGAGGAUGCUUCGGGUGCAGCCCCCGUCUAAGUGCCCUGGAACGGGCCGUCAUAGAGGGUGAGAAUCCCGUAUGGGGCGGGGUGUCUGCGUCCGUGUGAAGCUCCUUCGACGAGUCGAGUUGUUUGGGAAUGCAGCUCUAAAUGGGUGGUAAAUUUCAUCUAAAGCUAAAUACUGGCCGGAGACCGAUAGCGCACAAGUAGAGUGAUCGAAAGAUGAAAAGCACUUUGAAAAGAGAGUUAAACAGCACGUGAAAUUGUUGAAAGGGAAGCGCUUGCAACCAGACUCGCUCGCGGGGUUCAGCCGGGCUUCGGCCCGGUGUACUUCCCCGCGGGCGGGCCAGCGUCGGUUUGGGCGGCCGGUCAAAGGCCUCCGGAAUGUAGCGCCCUUCGGGGCGCCUUAUAGCCGGGGGUGCAAUGCGGCCAGCCUGGACCGAGGAACGCGCUUCGGCACGGACGCUGGCAUAAUGGUUGUAAACGACCCGUCUU
Molecule: ribosomal RNA, 610 nt
Filed under: Aspergillus terreus
Lineage: Eukaryota; Fungi; Ascomycota; Eurotiomycetes; Eurotiales; Aspergillaceae
Description: LSU rRNA
Rfam family: Eukaryotic large subunit ribosomal RNA
Source: RNAcentral